GACGAACCGUGCGAACGUUAUUCGGAAUCACUGGGCUUAAAGCGCGUGUAGGCGGUCCGACACGUCCGUUGUUGAAAUCCUCCAGCUCAACUGGAGAAUUGGCAUGGAUACGAUCGGGCUUGAGGGUGGUAGGGGAAUCGGGAACUUCCGGUGGAGCGGUGAAAUGCGUUGAGAUCGGAAGGAACGCCUGUGGCGAAAGCGCGGUUCUGGACCAUACCUGACGCUGAGACGCGAAAGCCAGGGGAGCGAACGGG
This 254-nucleotide ribosomal RNA is filed under the name uncultured bacterium. RNAcentral describes it as "partial 16S ribosomal RNA". It matches the Rfam family "Bacterial small subunit ribosomal RNA", at positions 524 to 776 of the family's 1533-position model. The record is from RNAcentral.